AAAAAAUAAGUUCAGUAUUUUGAGAAAUAGAAAACAAAAGGAAUUUACUUCCCUUGAUGGUGAAAGAUCAAUAAUUGUUUCUUCUUCCUCUGAUAUAGUAGUUGGUAUUUUUCUGGAAUCUUAUUGGGUCCAAGUCUCGUUUAUUUCUAGUCAUCGCCUGGGGUAUUUGAUGUAGUUGUUUGCUGCUGUUGCUGUGUAUUGCUACUGCUAUCCUGCUGAUCACUCCUCUUCUUCUUUUGCUUCUAAUAUCAGGUACACAACUGGUACACCUUGUAAGUUGAUAACAUGAAGCAUGAAUACAAAUGAAAAGUUGAAGUUUUAAUUUUAUCUACUUUUGUUACUGAAUGUAUUUAGGCCACUCUAUAUACUAUUGUUAUAUAAGUUUCUGCCAUGUUCGUAUGACAGGACAACUUGUAGUGAUGUACUAAAUAAUAUUCUAUUUUAAUUUGGUUAUUAAGUAAUAUAUGUUUAAGCAUGUUCAUUACUGUCAAACUGUUUUGAUGUUGUCAAUAGUAGGUUAAUCGCGAACAUGUAGUUUAAUCUAUUUAAGGUUUUAAUUUGAAUUAACUUCGUGAAUUAGACAUUAAGGCAUGCUUUGAGGUCAAACAAGGCGAGUUAACUAUUAAGUUUAAUAGCUUUCUCAUAAGCUUUGGUAAUUAUGAUUAAAUUUAGUUUCAAAUAGUUGUAAAUAAUUAAUUCCAAUAGUUCUUUUUUACAAUACGAGUUUUAAUCUAGCUAUAAUUGAUUUUUUUAAUAUUAGUUGUCAAUUUCAUCUUUUAUUUAUAAUUUCGAAAUUUUAAUUUUAUUUUCCACUAAUUUUUGUCUUAAUCUAGCAGUUAGUGUAUUUUUUUUUAUUUUUAAGCUCGUAAUUAAUUAGGAUUUUUCUCUCUUUUAUUUUAGAGACCAAUUUAAUAGAAAUGAAAUCACUUUAGAAUAUCCUUAAAAUAAAGAAGGUGUGCGUCGCCAAAAUAAAAACAUAUAAGUUGUGGGGUCCUUAAUAAAUGUAUAUAUUUAAAUACUUAGACUCCGGGGUGGGUUGUUUAGUGAAUUUCACGGCCUUCUCAAAAAUAAUAACGUUUUAGCAUCUUUAGGCGCGUACUUAAUAAUGUUAUCUUCCCUAAACUCGGGUGGGCAUUUUAUGNNNNNNNNNNNNNNNNNNNNNNNNNNNNNNNNNNNNNNNNNNNNNNNNNNNNNNNNNNNNNNNNNNNNNNNNNNNNNNNNNNNNNNNNNNNNNNNNNNNNNNNNNNNNNGUCCUAAAACGUUGGAUAGAGUUUGCCUAGGAUUGCGGGCUCCGGCGGCGCAAUCCAAAAGCACACUUUAAACGACGUUCACAUUCUCAAAUAAAUAUAUAUUAAAUAAAAGCGAUAAAAAGUAAAAUUGGCAUAUAGGUUCUUCAUGUAAUAAAAUCGGAUAAAUAAGCUAAAUAUGACAAUUGAGCGACCGUGCUAGAACCACGGAACUCAGGAAUGCCUAACACCUUCUCCCGGGUUAACAGAAUUCCUUAUCCAGAUUUCUGGUGCGCGGAUUGUUAAACAGAGUCAUUCUUUUCCUCGAUUCGGGAUUAAAUCGGUGACUUGGGACACUAUAAAUCUCCCAAGUGGCGACUCUGAUUCUUUAAUAAAUAAUCUCAUUUCUAUUGUCCUUUAAUUGGAAAAACUCCCUUACGCCCUCGCGGGGGUGGAAAAAGGAGGUGUGACAGCUCUGACAACUCUGCUGGGGAUAAAUAACCCAGAACCGCUGGUUCAGGGUUAGAAAUUCGAUCUUAGAAUAAUUGUUGUAUUUGGCUUUCUUUAUUAUCUGAUGUUUGUUAAAUUUUUUUGGAUUUAAUUUGCAAAAUAUUGCUUAUUACCGCUUUGAUAUUUUUUGAACUAUGUAUAUAAACUGCUACGAAAUCCUUUUUCUUUCUGAGUUUUUUUUUUAAAAUGGUGCAUACGUUCGCGUAGUCCACUUUUUAUAAAUAUAAUGCCAAAUAGAGUGAAGUUGGGCAAGCGACAAAGCCGGGCAGACUUUAGUGCUCCCGAAACGUCGCCCCCUCCUCAGCCCCAGUUGUUCGCUCGGGUAUCCCAACUCUAGACCAAAACCCUAGUUUUUUUAAAAAAAUCUAGUAAAACACAGCUUCAUGUUGAAUCCCUAGUAGGAACAUUUAUUUGCAUCAUGUGCAUUUGAUUUAGAGGACUCAACAUAGGGGUUGAGUCCGUUUAGGACAAGCAACCUGAAGUAAAAAGACAAUCCGACUGCAUCCUGUUUGUUUUAUGCAUUUAUUUGCUUCAAACAUGAAUGCCGACCGACUUCUAAAAAUUGGAAAUAUUAGAAAAUUGUGAAAAAAGAGAAAAAUAGUAGUGUAGAGGGUUAAUCAUCUGUUUUGAAAAAUAACGAUGUUCAAGUACUGUCGAAACUCUGCCGAAAUUUUGAGAAAAUGAGAAAAAUAUAUUUUACUUUUAAAAUUGUUUGUUUUACCCAAAAAGGCAGAAAAUGUGUAGAAAAGAGUGUUCUGUUUUCAAAAAACGGAAAGGAAAAAUAGUUUGUUUGCUAUAAACGAAAAAGGAAAAAAAUAUGUUUGUUUUCAAAAAUUAGUUAGUUUAUUUGGCGAAAUACGCCGGUAUGAUUCUCACAGGGUAUGAGAUACGUAAGCAACCCUCAUCGUGUCCAACCUCCCUUUUUGCUAAAAAAAAUCAAAAUAUUAAUUUUUGUCAUAAAAAGGUCGGGUGACGUUUUCUUUUGUCAAACAUAGCCGAAUGUUCCCAAAAGGGACGCCGGAAGGCUGACUUUGCAGAAACAGCCACCUUUGGGUCAUUUUUAGAUUUGGGCAGAUUGACCCACACAACCUUAAAAUCUUCGCCCCCCAGGCGCUGAAAGGUCGUGUUUGCAAUAUCGGGUCUUCUAUUUUGAAAAAAAAGUCAUAAUAAGUCGGGGAUUGUUGUUUUUAUCAAAAAUAGCCGAAUGUUCCCGAAUGGGGCGCCGGAAGGUCGACUUUGUAUAAACAGCCACCUUUGGGACAUGUUUUUAGAUUUUGGCCAGCUGACCCAGACAGCCUUAAAUCUUCGUCCCUGAAGUGCUAAAAGGCAAUCUUUGCAAAACUUGGCCUUUUAUUUUAAUUUGAAAUAAAAGAGUUAGUGGGCAAGUGAUUGCCGAUCAAAUUUUUAGUCAAAAGUAAGCCGAGCGAGCUUCGGCAUUGCAUUCAACCGUUCUUGCCGAGAUAGCCUUAGAGUAUCUUUCAUUUGUCGAAAGGCUAUUUUCGUCAAAAAUGGACAAGUUUGUAGAGUGUCGUGAAAUAAUUUUCCCGGCCUCAAAAUUCAUGUGAAUUGAGAGGAGGCCACGUUGCAGAAAUAGCCAUUUGGCUGAAAGUGGCAAAUAGGGAAAUGAAUCUAUCCGUUUGUUUUUGAGUUUGUAAUUCUUUUGAUAAAAUAUGCGGGUUGUUUGAUUUUCGAGUCCUAUGUUGUCUUUUCGUCAAAUUUUGAUAGUUUGGUCCGUUUUUAAACCAUUGUAAUUAAAGUUGUUUUAUUAUGAAAGUUGAAAAUUCCAAAAAAGGUUUCAUUGUCGUUUACUUUUUAUUGGUCAGGACUACGCAAGGUCUGAUUCAUGCAGGGUCAUGAUUCAUAGGCAAUCUCCAUAUGAUUCGACCACAACAAAAAAAUGAAAAAGAAGAAAAUUUAAAAAAGAAGGCAAAAGAUGUUGUUAAUAAUGAAGAUAGACUAAGUCUAUGCUAACAUGUUUUAUUUUGAGUUUUUACAAAGCUGGUGCGAUCGGUGUGUGGUAAGCUGGAGGCACAAGACCCGGGAAAAUUUGAUUCAAGACAGUGACAUCCAGAACAUCACGCUGAAUCCUUUACAUAAACAUGAAGAUGCACACUUUGUGGGGAUGAUGCCCGGUGACAUGGGGUAUGCGAAUAUACUGACUAAAGCUGAAGUUCUUGAUGCAGAUAGUCGUCUUGGCAAUAUGGAUGCGAAGCUCAAUGGCUAAAAAUGCC
RNAcentral lists this long non-coding RNA (3967 nucleotides) under Nicotiana benthamiana. Its description in RNAcentral is "long non-coding RNA (NBEN_LNC018090)". The record is from RNAcentral. Lineage: Eukaryota; Viridiplantae; Streptophyta; Magnoliopsida; Solanales; Solanaceae.